Molecule: ribosomal RNA, 497 nt
Filed under: uncultured bacterium
Lineage: Bacteria
Description: partial 16S ribosomal RNA
Rfam family: Bacterial small subunit ribosomal RNA
Source: RNAcentral
GAUGAACGCUGGCGGCGUGCCUAAUACAUGCAAGUCGAGCGAACAGACGAGGCUCUUGCUCCUCUGACGUUAGCGGCGGACGGGUGAGUAACACGUGGAUAACCUACCUAUAAGACUGGGAUAACUUCGGGAAACCGGCGCUAAUACCGGAUAACAUGUUGAACCGCAUGGUUCAACAGUGAAAGACGGUCUUGCUGUCACUUAUAGAUGGAUCCGCGCCGCAUUAGCUAGUUGGUAAGGUAACGGCUUACCAAGGCAACGAUGCGUAGCCGACCGGAGAGGGUGAUCGGCCACACUGGAACUGAGACACGGUCCAGACGCCUACGGGAGGCAGCAGUAGGGAAUCUUCCGCAAUGGGCGAAAUCCUGACGGAGCAACGACGCGUGAGUGAAGAAGGUGUUCGGAUCGUAAAACUCUGUUAUUAGGGAAGAACAAAUGUGGAAGUAAAUAUGCACGGCUUGACGGUACCUAAUCAGAAAGCCACGGCUAACUACGUG